UAGGGAAUCUUCCGCAAUGGGCGAAAGCCUGACGGAGCAACGCCGCGUGAGUGAUGAAGGUCUUCGGAUCGUAAAACUCUGUUAUUAGGGAAGAACAAAUGUGUAAGUAACUAUGCACGUCUUGACGGUACCUAAACAGAAAGCCACGGCUAACUACGUGCCAGCAGCCGCGGUAAUACGUAGGUGGCAAGCGUUAUCCGGAAUUAUUGGGCGUAAAGCGCGCGUAGGCGGUUUUUUAAGUCUGAUGGGAAAGCCCACGGCUCAACCGUGGAGGGUCAUUGGAAACUGGAAAACUUGAGUGCAGAAGAGGAAAGUGGAAUUCCAUGUGUAGCGGUGAAAUGCGCAGAGAUAUGGAGGAACACCAGUGGCGAAGGCGACUUUCUGGUCUGUAACUGACGCUGAUGUGCGAAAGCGUGGGGAUCAAACAGG
RNAcentral lists this ribosomal RNA (429 nucleotides) under Actinomycetes bacterium. Its description in RNAcentral is "Actinobacteria bacterium partial 16S ribosomal RNA". It matches the Rfam family "Bacterial small subunit ribosomal RNA", at positions 355 to 776 of the family's 1533-position model. The record is from RNAcentral. Lineage: Bacteria; Bacillati; Actinomycetota; Actinomycetes.